ACCCACUCUACCCAGGUGGCAGCUUCGACCCAUUAGGCCUUGCUGAAGACCCGGAGGCAUUUGCUGAGCUCAAGGUAAAGGAGAUUAAGAACGGCAGACUUGCUAUGUUCUCUAUGUUUGGAUUCUUUGUUCAAGCCAUUGUUACCGGAAAGGGUCCAUUGGAGAAUCUUGCUGACCACCUUGCAGAUCCAGUUAACAACAAUGCAUGGGCCUUUGCCACAAACUUUGUUCCCGGCAAAUGAAUAUCAUAAAAUGUUCUCUAGAUAUUAUUGUUUGAUGGCUUUGUAAAGUUUUAGUUGUGAGUUUACUUGACAAUAGAAUGAUUUUUUCUUAGUCCUGAAUUUCAUUUGAUGAAUGAAAUACUGCAAAAUUCAUAUUGAAGGGGAAAAUUGAUGACGAAGCAAAAUUAACAAGACCAGAGUUAAAUUUGAGGUGUGGUAAAAGCUUAAACCUGAAUAUACAGACCAGAGGAACUUAUGGAAUUCAAUUAAUUCUCAAGAAGCAAUACUCCAACUUAGACAUUGAACGACAUGCUGUUUAUUUACUUCCAUGAUUCUUUAUUUUUCUGUCAAGAAGUGAAAGAGAAAUUAAGGGAAAACCAAUGGACAGUAUGUUUUAUAAUCUGAACGUAGCGAGUAAUAUAUGAGUUUCCGGGUCAUUACACUUAUGUGUCCACAUCCAUGAAGUUCUUGUAUUUUCCUCCUUCCUUACAUGGCACAUCAUAGCAAUGACCAGAGCCAAAGGGACAUAAUAAGCAGAAGAUACAAGUUAAAUAUACAUGCAUGGCACUUAUUAGAGAGGAAAUCAAGUUCUCGCUGACAUUGUGAAAAAUGCUUAUACAAUCAUAUCAUUAUUAACAGGGCAGAGGUAGACUUCAGCGAUGAAUGGAAUGUCCCACAUCGAUGAAUGAAUGACCUCUUUAUAAGUGUUGAACAAUUCUCUACCCUUUGAGAUAACUUUUGAGGUUCAGUUAGUCACAAGAUUCAUUUCCACCCGGUUUGACAAAACCAAGUAGCUGGUCCAACGUCAACACAUGCAUAUGUGUUAAGAAAUUUAUUAAAUAUGUGGAACUACUAAAUUUAGAAUCGAUUAGAAUUUAAGGUCGCCUUUUAGAUUUCAGAACCCAUGAAGUUCAAAUCUUGAUCCGUGUUUGCUUAUUAGGUACUAGUCUUAGGGAACGUGCGCUGCACGUUUGUCCUUUAUUGUUAAAUUUCUAUAUACUAAAAUAUUGAGUUAUAAAAAAGGAAAUUUUGAAAUUAGCAAUAGUAGUUUUACUAUUUAUAUUUUGUUCACUAAAUAAUUAAAAAAAAAUAUUAUGAAUACUUAAGCAUUUUUGUUAUUCUUCAUUUGAAGUUUCUCUUUCUCUUUUCUUCUCAUACUAGUUUCUGAGGACGUGCUUCGCACGUAUGUUUCAUGUAAAUUUUUAUAGAUAUGUUAGAAUGACUAAAGUUUCAUGAAAAUAUAUAUGUAAAUUGUAGAGAAUAAUAAAAUGUAACAAAUACAAAAUAAGAAAGACUUACGCAAUAAAACAUUCAUAAAAAACUAAAUUAAAAAGUUUAAUGAAAAAAAAAAAAGACAAAAAGAAACAGAUCUAAGGAAAAAUAUAAUGUAUACAUUAUUCUUAUAAGACUGAUGUAUGCAUAGAUGAAAAAAUAAGUACAUAACUCUCUGAGUUCUUAUCAACUCCUUCCAUAUCCUAUCAAAAUUCUAGAGGCUUCUUCAUCUACUUUAACUAUAGAAUAAACAUGUAGCCUAAUAAUCUUGGUAGGAGUUUCAUGAGAUAAAGAAGUUGAAUUUAUAUAGAUAGAAUAGAAGGAAUAUCAAAAGAAAUCUUAAAGUUUUAGUUUAAAUAUUUAGAUGUUAUGAAUAUGAAAAGAUGGGAGUUAUGAAUAUUAAGAGUAUAAAAGUUGAAUAAGUAAUUAACAAAUAAUAAUAAAUAAAUGAAGAAUAUGAAAAAGAAAAUUAAAAUUAGCAAACCAUGUAGAAAGAACAACUAAAGUUCUUAUCACGUAAUAAGCGUUAAUGAAUUUAAAUUUGUGAAGAUAGAGUCGUUCUUUAAUAAUAGUCAAGAGGACAGUAUCAAUGUGUGUCUCCAUUUUGCAGAUUUGCAAUCUUUAAAUUAUUAAAUUUCGUUAUUUAUCAUUAAGGAUAACACUUUAUCCAUAUAAAUUAUAUUAUUCAUGUUAAGGAAAAAAUUAUGAGAAGAGGAAAAAUAUAGCAAUUUAGAUAGAGAUCAUUUUAAAAAAAAAUUAGAAUUAUUAUAUAUAUAGAUUAUAAAUCAUAAAUAUUAAUUAAUUAGAUAUUUAAUUAGAAAUUAAUCUUAAGAAGUCUAAAAGUCAUUAACAUUUUAAUUAAAUUUAUACAAUCAAAUAUUUAAAUAGUUUAUAACAAUUUAAUUUAUAGAAGGGGUAAAAUCGUAAUUCAACUUUUAACUUUUUUUGUUCAUGCUUUUAGUAAUAUAUGAUUGAAUUAUGCACAUAACAUAAAUCUUUAUAAAUUGAUUCUUAAAGCAUAUUGAAAUUUUAAUUCUGAAAGUGUUCUUAGAAUAAUGGAGAGAAUCUUCAUAUUCAACUUUCAUUUUUACAAAAUUAUGAUUAUGAGUAAUAAUUAAUAUUUAAUAAUCACGCGAAAGAAUAACUUAACUAUUUAUGGGUCCAACCAAUAAUCUGGAAAUUGAGUUUGCAAUUUUUCAGUCAUAAUUAAAAUUUUACAUCAACAAUAAUAGCUUCUCAUCACAGUAAAUAGAAGUAUGAUGCAAACAAUAUAUAAGUUCUAAAAGACAUCAUCAAUUUGGUACAUAUGCAAAUGAUAUAAACACUAAUUGAUAUAUUACGAAUACACCUGCAGCCAUCAUCAUAAUUAUUAUGUUAAUUAUUUUAAUUAUUCCAUCACAUAUGCAUCUUCUUUUUAACCUUAAAGAAAUAUUAUCAUAUGAUUUAUGAAGAGAAAAGAAUAAUACUCUCUUUUUUUAUAAAAUUUCCCUUUGAAUAAUUAAUAUAAAUGGAGCAACACAAACUUUUCAAAAUGACUUAUUCUAGAUAUAUGGUCAAUUUGAAGAAUGAAUGUUUCCACAAACAAAUAAUAAACUAAUAAGAUCAAUAGAUUAUACAAUAUAAACGAAAAGUCAAAUAAAAAAACAUUUAAAAAAAUCAUAUGUGAUUUUUUUCAUUUAGUUAUUCCUCUCAUUACUAAUAAAUAAUAAUCUCAAAAAUAUAUUUAAACUAAAGUAAAACACUCUAUAGAUAGUCGCAAAUAAAAAUUAACUGAUUAAUCUUUCAUUAUGAAUUUCAUCAAUGAUUAAGAAAUAUAGGAGAACAUGAAUUGUAUAUAACUAAUUUUCAUAUAGGACACAAGAUAUUCCACUAGAAAACAAAAUUAUAAGAAAGUAUAUCGAUCAAAAUAUUAAAAAAGGAUGUACAAAAUACUUAAGCUUGACAAGAAUGAGUGGAUAAAAACAAAAGGAAAUUAUUGCAAUACAAUAUAAUGAGCAAGAUUAAUUUUUUUGCUUGAUAAUCUCUCAUCCUCCUCUUAUCACUUACAUAAAGACCAUGCUAGGUAUUUUAUAGCUGUAGGUACGAUGACUUUUGAGUAGAUAAAAUUAAUUUCAUUAAAUUAGUUCGAUGAUUUUAGUCCAUAUCAAAUUUAUGUAAAGGAAAAACUCUUCAAAUACUCUUGAUUUUUACAACAAAAGAGAAAUUAAUUAUUAAUGUGAAUUUGAUUCAUGCACUGAUUUAAAUAAGUUAUUUAUUAAAUAUUUAAUUAUAUUUUAUAUUAUUUGUUUUAAUUAUUUUAUAUUAUUAUUUGUUUUAAUUAUUUUAAUAUAAGGGUAAAAUGGUAAUUCAACUUUGAGCUUUGAAUCUUCCCACUUAUAAUAAUAUGAUUUACAAGUUAAUCAUAUCAAUAUCAUAUCAUAUAUUAUUAUAAGUGGAAGAUUUUAUCUUCAAAGUUGAAUUAUAGUUUUGUCCUUAUUAUUAACUAGUUCUGGAAAUGUGUCUUGCACGUUUGACCUCUGUUACUGUUACAAUUUAUAUAGACCCAAGAUAUAAAAUUGCUCGACAUUGUCUGACGUACUCCUAUAUGUCUUUUUGUGCAUAUAAAAUAAAUUUUUUUAGUGUUUACUUUUUGCCUAGAACUUAAACAUAAACAUUUUCUUUGGUGAAUGAUGAACAACUUGUAAGGCUAGAACUAAUUCCUAAGGCUGAAAUUUCUUGGAUAUAAAUACUCCAACAAUCAUUAAAAAUAAAAAAAAUUGAAUGAAGGACACAAACCAAUAAGAAAAAUAGUGACUAAUAAAAAAAUAUUACAAGAACAAAUAGAUUAUAUGUUUCUCUAACAACCAUGAAAAUAAAAAAUGAACGAAGGCACAAAUCAAUAAGAAAAAUAGUGACCAAUAAAAAAUACUCCUUACAGAAGAACUAUUAGAUGAUGAAAACAAAGUGUGGUGGAUUAAUAUUUUUAUCCAAUUCAUAAAGGGAGAAAUUAAGUACAUGAAAGGUUUGUGCAUGAAUGUGUUUAAUGGUAGAAGCUACAAAGUUUAAACAAUCAAAUUCAUUAAGAAAUGGAAAAUGAUAAGUUGUAACAUCUAAUCAUAUAUUUGGUCUAGUUUAAUUAUCAUUAUUGAUUUAGUUUUAAAAAUUAGUAAAAGAUUUUUUAAUUUAAAAAAUUGGUGAAGGGCAUUUUCGUAAUCUAACUUUAAACUUAAAAUCUUUACACUUAUAAUAAUAUAUGAUAUGAUUAAAAUAUUUUUAAAACCUAAUUAAUUAAACAUCAAGUAACAAUAUUUUAGUUAUUUUUUAGAUCAUGAGUUAUUUAUUAGCAUGAAAAUUAAAUAAUUAUUAAUUAUAUUGUAUAAUAAAUUAACCAAAACAAAUAGUUACAAAUUAAAUGCAAGUGCAUAUAUGGUGAAGAAUUCAAUUACAAAUUAAUUGCAAAUGAAUGUAUGGUGAAGAAACCAAGAGUUAUUUGUAUGACUUCUUUUUUUCAGCAUGACUUUUGAGUUUCUAUAUGUCAUUAUAUAUUUAGUAACUUUCGAUUUUUCAGGUUGAAGUAAUGUUGAAUGAAAGAAAAUCUACAUAUACACGCAUAUAUUAUGUUCUACUUAUAGAUUCUAUUAUGUAUUUAUUCUUUUAUAUUUGCUCUAUUUUGUUUGCUUUUUAAAUUUAAUUUUUUGUUGUUUGUUUUAUCUUUUUCACCCCAAGUCAUGGAAUACUAUUAUACUCGUCAUAUGAUUAUUUUUAGAGUUGAAAAGUUGGAAAACACUAAUGUUAGUUUUUCUUUUUGAUAGUUACGUAUUUUAAACUAAAGUACUUAAAAACUAAAUAAAUCCUAUAAAAUUGAAUGCUCACAUACAAUUUAAAGACAUAUUUUUACUUUUCGAUCAAAUUCCUUUCUUUGGAUAUUUUUCACCAAAAGUUAGUAAUAAUAAGAAAAUGUAUGACCCCCCCCCCCCCACCCAAAAAAAAAAAAAAUUUGAACAACUUCAACAGUGGACUUUUGGAACACAAAAUCUCUUCCUUUAUUUGAAAUAUAGUAUUUAAUAAUAUUCAUGAAGUUUUAAAAAAAUAAAUACAUUGAUAUGGAGUACCUUCAAAAUUGGAUUACAUUUCAAAAACUAAUUAAUUUAUAAUGACGUAACAAAGCCUAUUCAGAUUCUUGAUGUUAUUGUGUCUUUAUGCUAUUAAACUUUAAUUCAAAUUACACUUGAACGUGUAAUUGCAUGAAUUACCAUAGAUAAUUUUUAUUAUGAGAUGAUAUAUUGUAGUUGAAUUUGUAUUUUAGAGGAUUAAUUCAUUGUUUGAAGUUCUUUGUCUAAUUUAAUGUGGCAUCGCACGAAGCACAUUGAUCUUAAUAGUUUGUCAUGUAACAUUUGACAUUAUCUAUACAUUUUAACUAAUUAUUUCUAUUAAAUUCGAUUAUGAAAGGACUCUGAAGUUUCAGGUAAAAGGUAACCUAUAUCCCUUUCAAAAGUUUAUAUAACUUAUCACACAUUUAAUCUAAUAUUAUUUUAAUAAACUAUCACUCUUAGCCUGAAAUACACGUGCAACGCACAAACUUGAAAAUUAGUCUUUUAAUAAACAUUACUUGAUAAUCUGGAGAAAAAAAAAUGAAUUUCAAUUUUUCGUCAAUUUAUUUAGUGAAAGGCUAAAGCAUAGCUAUAGUGCUGAUAGAUAAAAUCUGGAGAAAUUCCCAAUGGAUAAUGAUAAGAGAUAUGAGUGUAUUGUAAGCUCAACAAAUCAGAGGGUAGAGUUCAAUCCUUGUAGCCACACAUAGGAGGACAAUAUUGGAUGGGUCCCUUUAGUUGUAAACGUCUUGUAAAAUUGGAGAUUGCCAAGAGUGCAUUAAUUGCUACACAUGGGAUCUUGAUAUCCAAUGAGAUCAUAGAUAUAGAUAUCACUAGAUAAUUAAGACUCUUUUUCCCUCUUAAUUACUCCCUAUAUAUAUGGUGAAUUAGUUCCUUUGUAACUUCAUCUCAUCAAAACCAACUUCAACAGUAUCAUCAAACACUUACAUUUCUCUUGAUAUAAACACAAUGGCAGCUGCAACAAUGGCUCUUUCUUCCCCUUCUUUUGCUGGACAGGCGGUGAAACUCUCACCCUCUGCCUCAGAAAUCUCUGGAAAUGGAAGGAUCACUAUGAGAAAGGCUGUCGCCAAGUCAGCCCCAUCUAGCAGCCCAUGGUAUGGCCCUGACCGUGUUAAGUACUUGGGACCAUUCUCUGGUGAGUCACCAAGCUACUUGACCGGUGAAUUCCCUGGUGACUACGGCUGGGAUACCGCUGGACUUUCAGCAGACCCAGAAACCUUUGCCAAGAACCGCGAACUUGAGGUGAUCCACUGCAGAUGGGCUAUGCUUGGUGCUCUUGGCUGUGUCUUCCCUGAGCUAUUGGCUCGUAACGGCGUCAAGUUCGGUGAGGCUGUGUGGUUCAAAGCUGGAUCCCAAAUCUUCAGUGAGGGUGGACUUGACUACUUGGGCAACCCAAGCUUGGUCCAUGCACAAAGCAUCUUGGCCAUCUGGGCUUGCCAAGUUGUACUCAUGGGAGCCGUUGAAGGUUACCGUAUUGCUGGUGGCCCUCUUGGUGAGGUUGUCGACCCACUCUACCCUGGUGGCAGCUUCGACCCACUGGGUCUUGCUGAAGACCCAGAGGCAUUUGCUGAGCUCAAGGUAAAGGAGAUCAAGAACGGUAGACUUGCCAUGUUCUCUAUGUUCGGAUUCUUCGUUCAAGCUAUUGUUACCGGAAAGGGUCCAUUGGAGAACCUUGCUGACCACCUUGCAGACCCCGUUAACAACAACGCUUGGGCUUUUGCCACAAACUUUGUCCCCGGAAAAUGAAACUUUUUAAACAAUCUUAAUAUUCCUUGUAAAGUAGUAGUGAGUUACUUGACAAUAGAAUGGAUUGUUUUUCUUUAAUAUUUCAAUGUUUGUGUAGUACUGAGUAACAUCUUACUAAGCUAUGAAUCAAAUGUUGCCACUUUCAUAACAAAGGAUAAUCAAAGAAAGAGAACAGAGCAAAAAAGACAGAAGAUACAUAUAUAUGAGAUAUGGUAACUAGAAAAACUCUAAAGCUGUGACAGGCUUACAACAUCGAAUUUUCAGACCAGAAGAACUUAGGGAAUUCAAUCAACUCUCAAGAAGCAAUACUCAAAAUUAGAGCAAAGUAUUAAUUUUGAAAAAUAAGAUGUUAUUACAUCAUUCAUUAAUUUUGUCGAGAGGUUAAAGAGGAAAUAGAGGACGUUAUAUCAUUUCACGACUAGAACAUUAACAGUUCAAUAAUAAGGGAAGAAAGCCAAUAUGUUUUUUAGUCUGAAAUGUAGUUAUUAGAAACAUAUAAGUUUCCAGGUCCUUAUAUUAUGUGCCUUUAAUUUGGAUAGCAUCUUUGAACAGAUUCGUAAAUCUCUUAUACAUCCUCCUUUCUCACAUAUCUGACAAAUCCUUUGACAUAGUAAUGACCAGAGCCAAAGGACACACUUAUAUAGUUAGCAGAAGACACAAGUAAUGCUAUAUAUGACACUUACUGGCAACAAAUUCUAAGUUGUAUGCACUAAUAACGUAAGCAAUAUUUACACAAUCAAGUUACUUAGUAAGUUACUAAAGGUAAAUCCCUUGAUAAACAUUAAUUGGUAUUCUGGUUAAAAAUAGUAACUGAUCUACUAUCACAUGUUAAAAUUUAUGGAUAGUGUAAAAACAUCUUUACACUGUUAGUAAAUUCUAUUUCUCUUAACACAGAAAAAAUUGUGAUACUGAUGAAUAUCAACAAAUUAAAAUCUGUGUUCAUGUCCUUCAGAACAAGCACUUUCCAAGUCUCAGCAUCUGUUGCUCAUGUAGUGGUUAAGUACUAAGCUGCGUUGAAUCUCUACGCAUAAAUUAACAGUAUCUUGAAUGAGCAUAUGAAAAUAUAACAUGCGUGGCUAACAUAAACAACUUUGUCAAUUGAGGUCUAAUAUAUUAAUAAAGUUUCAAUUGCAUUGCUUCCCAAACAUAAACAUGCAUUAUUGAUCUCCCACAAUUUAUGAAUUUAAUUGUGGCAUCUUUUACCAUGAAGGUAGACAAAUUCCAAGUGGAUAAUGAUAUGGACAUCAUAUUGUGAGCUCAACAUUGAAUGAGCUGUAGUGCUGAUAGAUGAAAUCUGGAGAAAUUUCAAAUGGAUAAUGACAAAGAUAUCAGUAGUGUAAACUCAACAAAUCAGAGGGCAGAGUUCAAUCUUUACAGCCACACAAAGGAGGGCAAUAUUGGAUGGGCCCCUUAAGUAAUAAACAUCAUGCAGAUUGGAGAUUGCCAAGUGCAUUAAUCGCUACACAUGGGAUCUUGAUACCCAAUGAGAUUAUAGAUAUAGAUAUCACUAGAUAAUUACGGCUCUUUCCCUCUUUCUUAAUCCCUAUAUAUGGUGAAUUAAUUCCCUUGUAACUUCAUCUCAUCACAGCCUUCAACAAUAUUUAAUACCAUAAAAUACUCAACACUUUUCUCUUAAUAUAAAUCAUGGCAGCUGCUGCAAUGGCUCUUUCUUCCCCUUCAUUUGCUGGACAGGCAGUCAAACUCUCACCAUCUGCCUCAGAAAAUUCUGGAAAUGGAAGGAUCACUAUGAGAAAGGCUGUCGCCAAGUCUGCCCCAUCUAGCAGCCCAUGGUAUGGCCCUGACCGUGUUAAGUACUUGGGACCAUUCUCUGGUGAGUCCCCAAGCUACUUGACUGGCGAAUUCCCUGGUGACUACGGCUGGGAUACCGCUGGACUUUCAGCUGACCCUGAGACCUUUGCCAAGAACCGUGAACUUGAGGUGAUCCACUGCAGAUGGGCUAUGCUUGGUGCUCUUGGAUGUGUCUUUCCUGAGCUCUUGGCCCGCAACGGUGUAAAGUUUGGUGAGGCUGUGUGGUUCAAGGCCGGAUCCCAGAUCUUCAGCGAGGGUGGACUUGACUACUUGGGCAACCCAAGCUUGGUCCAUGCACAAAGCAUCUUGGCCAUCUGGGCUUGUCAAGUUGUGUUGAUGGGAGCCGUUGAAGGUUACCGCAUUGCUGGUGGACCUCUUGGUGAGGUUGUCGACCCACUCUACCCCGGUGGCAGCUUCGACCCAUUAGGCCUUGCUGAAGACCCUGAGGCAUUUGCCGAGCUCAAGGUAAAGGAGAUUAAGAACGGCAGACUUGCUAUGUUCUCGAUGUUUGGAUUCUUCGUUCAAGCCAUUGUUACUGGAAAGGGUCCAUUGGAAAACCUUGCUGACCACCUUGCAGACCCCGUUAACAACAACGCUUGGGCUUUCGCCACAAACUUUGUUCCCGGAAAAUGAAAAUCUUAAACAUUCUUAAAAUUUGAUUGUUUGAUGGCCUUGUAAAGUAGUUGUCAGUAAUUACUUGACAUUAGAAUGGAUUAUUUUUUUUCAAUAUUCAAAAUUUCCAAUGAUUGUGUAAUCCUGAGUUACAUUUUUCAAAGCCACGAAUAAAAAAUAUUGCCACUUUUAUACCAAAGGGUAGAAGAAAGAGACCAAAGAAAAAAUAAUUGAGAAUUAAGAUGUCGUAACUAGAAAAACUAUAUGCUGUUAUAAGAUUAAAACUUGAAUUAUGGAAUUCAAUUAAUUCUGGAUAAGCAAUACUCAAAAUUAGUGUAAAGUACUAAUGUUGAACACCAUGACGUUAUUACAUGAUUCCUUAUUUUUCUAUCGAGAAGCGAAAGAGGAAAUAAGAAGACAUUGUUUCAUUUCAAUGCUAAGUGAAAACCAAUGUGUUUAACAUAUGACUUUACAGGUCCUUGCAUUAUAUGUCCUGUGAAAAAAUUCAUAAAUUUCUUGAAAAAUCAUCCUUCAUAACAUUGAUACCAUCUUUAGAUUAAAAGAUCUUUCCAAACAAGGCGCAUAGUAAUGACCAUAGCCAAAGCACAUACUUGUAUAGUUAGUUCGCAGAAGAGACAACAUGACACUUAUUGGCAACAAAUUUAAGCUAUGCACUGGUAAUAUAAAAAUUAUAUACAAUCAGUUUUACUUAUAAAGUAAUAUAUGUAAAUCCGUUGAUAACCAUUACUCCAAUGGUAGUCUCGUAAAAAUAGGGAAUUGACUUACUAUCACAUGUUAAAUUUUAUGGAUACGGCAAAAACAUCUUUAUACUGUCAGUGUAUAUAACUUAAAUCUACAAUUAGUAAAAAUAUAUUGUGGUGCUGAUGAAUUCUAACAAAUUAACGUGUUUGUUCAUGUUCUUCUGAAUAAGCUCUUUCAGAGUUUCACCAUUGCUCAUGUAGCAGUUAAGUACUGGAACUAAGCCGCAUUAAAUCUGUAAACAUGAAUUAACAAUGUCUUGAAUGAGCAUAAAACAAGAUAGCAUGUGUUGCUGACAUAAACAACUUUGUCAAUUGGGGUCUAAUAUGUUAAUAAAGUUUCAAUCACAUUGUUUUCCAAACAUAAACAUGCAUUAUUAAUUUCCCACAAUUUAUGCAUCAAGGUGGUAAUAAAUUUAAACUUCUCCUCGAAUUUCCUAAACCAUAGUUCUACAUCUUUUACCCUGCAGGUAGACAAAAUCUAUAGAAAUGGCAAGUGGAUAAUGAUAGGGAUAUCAUAUUGUAAGCUCAAUAUAUCACAGGGUGGAUUUCAAUCCUUGUGGCAAUAUAUGAGAGGACAAUACUGAAUGUGUCCCUUCUUGGAAAAUUAAUGAGUUGUAGAUUCAAGUUGCUACAAUAUAUGGGAUCUUGAUAUCCAAUGAGAUCAUAUGUAUAGAUAUCACUGGAUAAGAGGAUUCUCUCUCUCUAAUUACCUCCUAUAUAUUCUGAACCCCAACUACUUCAGCUUCAUCACAACCAACUUUGACAUUUCAAACACUCAUCACUUUUCUCUUGUUAUAAACCAUGGCAGCUUCUACAAUGGCUCUUUCUUCCCCUUCUUUUGUUGGGCAGGCAGUGAAACUCUCACCCUCUGCCUCAGAAAUCUCUGGAAAUGGAAGGAUCACUAUGAGAAAGGCUGUUGCCAAGUCUGCCCCGUCUAGCAGCCCAUGGUAUGGACCAGACCGUGUUAAGUACUUAGGCCCAUUCUCUGGUGAGUCCCCAAGCUACUUGACCGGUGAAUUCCCUGGUGACUACGGCUGGGAUACCGCUGGACUUUCAGCUGACCCUGAAACUUUUGCCAAGAACCGUGAACUUGAGGUGAUCCACUGCAGAUGGGCUAUGCUUGGUGCUCUUGGAUGUGUCUUCCCUGAGCUAUUGGCCCGUAAUGGUGUCAAGUUCGGUGAGGCUGUGUGGUUCAAGGCUGGAUCCCAGAUCUUCAGCGAGGGUGGACUUGAUUACUUGGGCAACCCAAGCUUGGUCCAUGCACAAAGCAUCUUGGCCAUCUGGGCUUGUCAAGUUGUGUUGAUGGGAGCCGUUGAGGGAUACCGCAUUGCUGGUGGACCUCUUGGUGAGGUUGUCGACCCACUCUACCCCGGUGGCAGCUUCGACCCAUUAGGCCUUGCUGAAGACCCGGAGGCAUUUGCUGAGCUUAAGGUUAAGGAGAUCAAGAACGGCAGACUUGCUAUGUUCUCUAUGUUUGGGUUCUUUGUUCAGGCCAUUGUUACCGGAAAGGGUCCAUUGGAGAACCUCGCUGACCACCUUGCGGAUCCAGUUAAUAACAAUGCCUGGGCCUUUGCCACAAACUUUGUUCCUGGAAAAUGAAUAUCAUAAAUUGAUGGCCUUGUAAAGUUGUAAUUGUGAGUUUACUAGACAAUAUAAUGGAUUUUUCUUAUAUUCCAACUAUGGUGUAGUAUAUAAUUCCAUUUUCCAAUUGCAUGAAUGAAAUACUGCAAGAUUCAUAUCAAAGGGGGAAAAAAGAUGACUAAGCAAAAACAAAAAAGAAAAACCAAUAUACAUUUGGAAUGUGGUAAAAGCUUAAAUCUUGAAUAUACAGACACAGGAACUUAAGGAAUUCAAUUUAUCCUCAAGAAUCAAUAAUAGUCUUAACUUAAUGCCAAGAAUAACAUUGAACAACAUGAUGUUAUUGACAUGAUUCCUAAUUUUUCUAUCUGAGAAGUGAGAUGAUUUAAGAGUACAUAACAAUUUUUCACUUCUACAUCAUUGACAUUUCAUUGAUGAGAGAAAACCAAUGCUGUGUGUUAUGUAAUCUGAACGUAGCAAGUAAAAGCAUCUAUGCAACUGCUUAUAUAACAGAGGCAGGUAUCCUCCAAAGAUGGCAUAUAGUAACGAGUAACGACCAGAGCCAAAAUUAAGGAAAUAGUAAGCAGAAGAUACAAGAAACUAAGAUAUACAUGACACUUAUUAUAAAGGAAAAUAAGUUCUAAGCAUUGACAUUGUAAAAAUGCUAAUGCUCAUGUCACUUAUUAACAAGGGCAGGGGUAAGCUUCAUCAUGCAUAUUUGACAGAACCAAUUAAGUAGUUUUGGUUCAAACAAAUAUAUAUAAGUGUUAAGAAACAAACAAAUUAAAUUGAGGAAUUCAUUUACUAGUAACUAAAUGAAACAUAUACAGAAUGUUCUAUGACUAUAAAUGCCUCUUCAUGACCAUAAGAUUUUUAAAAAUCCAUGCAUGGACCUUGGUUGAAAGAGAAUAUGAUAUUCUGCAUUGCCUUAAUGUCGCCAAAUGCUAUAGUGACUCUUGGAUGCAAUGACAUUAUAUCAAAGCUGCUAAAUGUUUUUACGGAAAAUCUUUUGUCAUUGAAUGUCUCUUUUGUUGUAGUGAUAUGUGUUAAAGAAAUUCAUCAACACAAAUUAAAUUUAGAAUCUGUUUAUCAGAAUCCAUAAAGUUCAAAUCUUGAUCCACAUUUGCUUAUGAAGUAAAUAGAGGUUAAACAUGAAUUGAUAAUAUGAUAAAAAUGAGUUUCAGCUUUUCCUCAAUUUAUUUAGUGAAGGCUUAACCAUAGUUCUACAUUGAAUAAGCUUUAGUGCUGAUAGAUAAAAUUUGGAUAAAUUCCAAAUGGAUAAUGAUAAGAGAUAUCAGUGUAUUGUAAGCUCAACAAAUCAGAGGGUAGAGUUCAAUCCUUGUAUCCACACAUAGGAGGACAGUAUUGGAUGGGUCCCUUCAGUAAACAUCUUAAAAAAUUAGAAGGAUUAGAGAUUGUCAAGUUGCAUUCAUUGCUACACUUAGGAUCUUGAUAUCCAAUGAGAUCAUAGAUAUAGAUAUCAUUAGAUAAUUUGGACUCUUUCCCUCUUAAUUACUCCCUAUAUAUAUGGUGAAUUAAUUCCUUGUAACUUCAUCUCAUUACAGCCAACUUCAACAAUAUCUCAUACCAUCAAACACUUACAUUUCUCUUGAUAUAAACACCAUGGCAGCUGCUACAAUGGCUCUUUCUUCCCCUUCUUUUGCUGGACAAGCAGUGAAACUCUUACCAUCUGCCUCAGAAAUCACAGGAAAUGGAAGGAUCACUAUGAGAAAGGCUGUCGCAAAGUCAGCCCCAUCUAGCAGCCCAUGGUAUGGCCCUGACCGUGUUAAGUACUUGGGUCCAUUCUCUGGUGAGUCCCCUAGCUACUUGAAUGGUGAAUUCCCUGGUGACUACGGGUGGGACACCGCUGGACUUUCAGCAGAUCCAGAAACCUUUGCCAAGAACCGUGAACUCGAGGUGAUCCACUGCAGAUGGGCUAUGCUUGGUGCUCUUGGAUGUGUCUUCCCUGAGCUCUUGGCCCGUAAUGGUGUCAAGUUUGGUGAGGCUGUCUGGUUCAAGGCUGGAUCUCAAAUCUUCAGUGAGGGUGGACUUGACUACUUGGGCAACCCAAGCUUGGUCCAUGCACAGAGCAUCUUGGCCAUCUGGGCUUGCCAAGUUGUACUCAUGGGAGCCGUUGAAGGUUACCGUAUUGCUGGUGGACCUCUUGGUGAGGUUGUAGACCCACUCUACCCCGGUGGAAGCUUCGACCCAUUAGGCCUUGCUGAAGACCCUGAGGCAUUUGCUGAGCUCAAGGUAAAGGAGAUUAAGAACGGUAGACUUGCUAUGUUCUCUAUGUUUGGAUUCUUUGUUCAAGCCAUUGUUACUGGAAAGGGACCAUUGGAGAACCUUGCUGAUCACCUUGCAGACCCAGUAAACAACAACGCCUGGUCCUACGCCACAAACUUUGUCCCCGGAAAAUAAAAAUCUUAAAACAUUCUCAAGUUUCUGAUCAUUUGUUGACCAUGUAAAGUUGUAAUUUGUGAGUUAACUUGAACAAUAGAAUUGAUUUUUCUUACAUCUUAUUCCUGUUAUGGUAUAGUCUUGAAUUUCAUUUUCCAAUGGCAUGAAUGAGAUGCUGCAAGUUUCAUAUCAAAGGGGAAAAACAGGUGACUGUUCAAAAAAAAUUAUACAUUUGGUAUGUGGUAAAAGCUUAAAAGUUGAAUAUAGAGACCAGUAGAGGAACUUAUGGAAUGAUUCAGUUCUCAAGAAGCAAUACUCUUAACUUAGUGCCGACAGUAGCAUGAUGAUUCCUUUAUUUUUAAGUUGAGAAGUGAGAUGAAUUAAGAGGACAUACGUUUAUUUCACUACUACGUACGCAGUGACAUUUCAAUGAUAAGGGAAAACUAAUGUAUAUGUUUUGUCUUCAGAAUCAGCAAGUACUCUCUCUGUUUCAAUUUAAUCCGUCUUACUUUCAUUUUUUACAAUACCUUGCUUCAACUUUUCACUUAACAUGUUUAAGACCACAAGAUUAAAUAACGUUUUGGUACAUUAUACAUAUCUUUGUUUUAAGAUCAUAAGAUUCAAAAAUAUUCUUUACUUUCUUAAAUUCCGUAACAAGUCAAAAUUAGACAAACAAAAUAAAACGGAGUGAGUGAUAUUGACGAGUUUCCAGAUCAUUAAUAGACUGAUAUGUCGUUAAUUUAAUUAGCAUCUUUAACUUGAACAAAAUCAUAAACUUCUUGUAUAAUCUUCCUUCCUUACAUAUGUCUUUAGAGUAAAAGCAUCUGUGUGACAGCUUAUAUAACAGAGGCAGAUAUCCUUCCAAACAUGGUACAUUUUGAUCAGAAUUUACAGCCAAAAGGACACAUAGUAAGCAGAAGAUAUUCAUGACACUAUGGAAAAGAAAAUUAAGUUCUAUGUAUUGACAUUGUCAAAAAUACUUGCACAAUCAUAUCACUUAUUACAGUGGCUCGCAGAGGUAGCCUUCAGCAUAUCAGUUUGACAGAACCAAAUAGCUUUGGCUUAAACCAUGUAUAUGUGUUAACAUAUUCAUUAAAUAUGUAUACAGAAUUUACUAAUACUUGAGGUCAUUGUCCUAGAUUCUAGAACUCAUAAAGUUCAAAUCUUGAUUAGUCUUUCCUUUUUAAGUAAUUACAAGUUGUGAUAAACACCAGUAACAAUAUAACGAGUAUAAUCUCAUAACUAAGGUCUGGCGAGGGUAACGUGUUAGGCAGACCUUACCCUACAUUAAGUGACAUAUAGCGCUGUUAGAUAAAAUCUGGAGAAAUUUUCAAUGGAUAAUGAUAAGAGAUAUCAUAUUGUAAGUUCAACAAAUCACAGAAUAGAGUUCAAGCCUUGUAGCCAAUUAAAGGUGGACAACAUUAGUUGGGUCCCCACUGUAAACAUCCUGUAAAAUUGUUGGACUAGAGAUUGCCAAGUAGCAUUACUUGCUGUAUAUGGGAUCUUGAUACCCAAUGAGAUCAUAAAUAUAGAUAUCACUAGAUAAGGACUCUUUCCCUCUUAAUCCCUAUAUAUGCUGAAUAAUUCCCUUGUAACUUCAACUCAUCACAGCAAACUUCAAAAGUUUACCAUCAAACACUUACUUUUCUCUUGAUAUAAACACAAUGGCAGCUGCUACAAUGGCUCUUUCUUCCCCUUCUUUUGCUGGACAGGCGGUGAAACUCUCACCCUCUGCCUCAGAAAUCUCUGGAAAUGGAAGGAUCACUAUGAGAAAGGCUGUUGCCAAGUCUGCCCCAUCUAGCAGCCCAUGGUAUGGCCCUGACCGUGUUAAGUACUUGGGCCCAUUCUCUGGUGAAUCCCCAAGCUACUUGACCGGUGAAUUCCCUGGUGACUAUGGAUGGGACACUGCUGGACUUUCAGCAGACCCUGAGACCUUUGCCAAGAACCGUGAACUCGAGGUGAUCCACUGUAGAUGGGCUAUGCUUGGUGCUCUUGGAUGUGUCUUUCCUGAGCUCUUGGCCCGCAACGGUGUAAAGUUUGGUGAGGCUGUGUGGUUCAAGGCCGGAUCCCAGAUCUUCAGCGAGGGUGGACUUGACUACUUGGGCAACCCAAGCUUGGUUCAUGCACAAAGCAUCUUGGCCAUUUGGGCUUGCCAAGUUGUGUUGAUGGGAGCUGUUGAAGGUUACCGUAUUGCUGGUGGACCUCUUGGUGAGGUUGUCGACCCACUCUACCCAGGUGGAAGCUUCGACCCAUUAGGCCUUGCUGAAGACCCAGAGGCAUUUGCUGAGCUCAAGGUAAAGGAGAUCAAGAACGGUAGACUUGCUAUGUUCUCUAUGUUUGGAUUCUUUGUUCAAGCCAUUGUUACCGGAAAAGGUCCAUUGGAGAACCUUGCUGAUCACCUUGCAGACCCAGUAAACAACAACGCCUGGGCCUUCGCCACAAACUUUGUUCCCGGAAAGUGAAUACCAUAAAAUGAUUUUUAAAUUUUCAUGUAAAGUUGUUGUGAAUGAGUUGACAAUAUAAUGGAUUUUUCUAUUCCAAUGAUUUUUAGUCCUGAAUUUUCAUCUUCUAAACCCACAAUACGAAUCAAACAAUAAAACUUUCAUUCCAAAAACAAAAGAAACAGAAUAGAGAAUAAAGCCCUAACGAACACUUUCAACGAUAUGGUAAUUAAAAAACCACAGUAAAGGUGUUUAUAGCUUAAACUUCAAUUUGUAGAACAUAGCAGAUUUAUUAGGUGCAUCGUCUAUGCUAUGUUUGAGCUAUUGACACACAUAUACUGACAAUAACAACAAACAGAUAGUAUAUUGUUUGCUUGAAUGUUAAUGUUAUAAAUUACAUUAAUUUCCAGGUCGAAAAUCUCUGCAGAUUUUAAUUUUCCAUUAUCACGUACAGUGGUGUAUAGUGAUCAUUAUGACUAAUGUCUCUUCAUGACCAUGAGAUUAACUAACAAAAGUCUAUUCAUGGAUCUAUGUUAAAAGAAGAAAAAACGAUGGUGGGUACUGGCGCUAGUUGCUUGGAUUCUUUGAAAAUGUCAACAAGUGUGUUUGGAAUUAUCAGCAUAAACAUGAAG
This 17560-nucleotide long non-coding RNA is filed under the name Solanum lycopersicum (tomato). RNAcentral's name for it is "long non-coding RNA (SLYC_LNC001187)". The record is from RNAcentral. Lineage: Eukaryota; Viridiplantae; Streptophyta; Magnoliopsida; Solanales; Solanaceae.